This is a long non-coding RNA of Rhagoletis zephyria (snowberry fruit fly), 131 nucleotides long. RefSeq lists it as uncharacterized. NCBI's taxonomy places the organism in Eukaryota, Metazoa, Arthropoda, Insecta, Diptera, Tephritidae. The record is from RefSeq and is a predicted model, not a curated record.
GUUUCGCUACGUUUGUCUUCGGUCCCUGUUGCCUGUGUUCCAGUGCCGGUAUUUGAGGCUCCUGCACCAGCAAUCUCAGACUCAAUUUCCAGGCCAGAUGUCGCUACUAAACGUGCUAAGGAUGAGGAUGA